This is a long non-coding RNA of Passer domesticus (house sparrow), 197 nucleotides long. RefSeq lists it as uncharacterized. Lineage: Eukaryota; Metazoa; Chordata; Aves; Passeriformes; Passeridae. The record is from RefSeq and is a predicted model, not a curated record. The transcript is spliced from 3 exons.
UGGGAAGCGCCUUAGCAAGAGGCAGCGGUGGGCUGUCCCAUUGGGAAAGGCAAUGCUAGAGCAACUUACUGGGCACUUGGCACUCAGCCAAGGUCAGUCUGCUAUGUGCAGGAACCUCUCCAAAGCUCCAUGACCUGUUUGAGGUCAAGCAGAACAUCUGAUUUCAUCAGCUCCUUGUGCUGGUAUCAGUAUACUCC